UCUUAUUUUGGGGGCAACACGGUAGCUAAUAAGUGUUGGAGCUGGGUUAAAAUGCAGACAUUCUGGCCCACUUGGCCCUCCAUUCCGUCUGGCAGCCACCCACUGCCCUCUUGCUGCCCACCAUGGCUCUGUUGAACUCUGGCCAUGUUCUCUCUGGGAUCGCCAACGCCUUCCACCCAGGCCUAGCUGCCACAGCUUCUUCCAGAGCCAGCUCCUGAUGGGCCCAUGUGGAGAUGGGACCCCUAGAUCCAAUCCUGGGAGUCACUGAAGCCUUUAAGAGAGACAUCAAUAGCAAAAAGAUGACUCUGGGAGUUGGUGCCUAUUGGGAUGAUAACGGAAAGCCUUAUGUGCUCCCUAGUGUCUGUAAGGCAGAGGCCCAGAUUGCUGCAAAAAAUCUGGAUAAGGAAUACCUGCCCAUUGAGGGAUUGGCUGAAUUUUGCAAGGCAUCUGCAGAACUAGCCCUGGGUGAGAACAGUGAAGUGUUGAAAAGUGGCCGGUUCAUCACAGUGCAGACCAUUUCUGGAACUGGGACCUUAUGGAUCAGAGCCAGUUUUCUGCAAAGAUUGUUUAAGUUCAGCCGAGAUGUUUUUCUGCCUCAACCAACCUAGGGAAAUCACACACCUACCUAUCUUUAGAGAUGCUGGCAUGCAGCUCCAAGGUUAUCAAUACUAUGACCCCAAGACCUGCGGCUUUGACUUUACGAGCACUAUGGAGGACAUUUCGAAAAUACCAGAGCAAAGUGUUCUUCUCCUGCAUGCCUGUGCCCAUAAUCCCACAGGAGUGGACCCUCGUCUGGAGCAGUGGAAGGAAAUAGCUACAGUGGGGAAGAAAAAGAAUCUCUUUGCAUUCUUUGACAUGGCUUACCAAGGCUUUGCCAGUGGUGAUGGGAUCAAGGAUGCUUGGGCUGUGCGCCACUUCAUUGAACAGGGCAUUAAUGUUUGUCUCUGCCAAUCUUACGCCAAAAACAUGGGCUUAUAUGGUGAGCAUGUGGGAGCUUUCACUGUAAUCUGCAAAGACAGAGAGGAAGCCAAAAGGAUGGAAUCACAGUUGAAGAUCUCGAUCCGUCCCAUGUACUCCAAUCCUCCUCUAAAUGGGGCCCGCAUUGCUUCUACCAUUCUGACCGCCCUGGAUUUGCGAAAACAAUGGUUGCAAGAAGUUGAAGGCAUGGCCUACCGCAUCAUUGACAUGCAAACUCAACUGGUCUCUAAUCUCAAGAAGGAGGGCUCCUCCCAUAACUGGCAACACAUCACUGACCAGAUUGGCAUGUUUUGUUUCACAGGGCUAAAGCCUGAACAGGUGGAGAGGCUGACCAAGGAGUUCUCCAUCUACAUGACAAAGGAUGGCCGGAUCUCUGUGGCUGGGGUCACCUCCAGCAAUGUUGGCUACCUUGCCCAUGCCAUUCACCAGGUCAUUAAGUAAUUUCCCUGGUGUGAAGGAACAGAGACAACCUUUCCGUCUUCAGCCUCUGCUGUUUUGAGCUUCGCAUGGAGCGUGAGGGAGGGUGGAUGGUGGUGUAUAUCAUUUCUUUCAACCAUAGCGCAUAAUACUCAGCAACUGAAUGUGUUUCUCAAAAAAGAACAUGCAGCAACAUAGGGCAGAGGCAUUUGUGGCUGGCAUCUGGAUCUUUGUGGCACUAAACCAAACUCUCCUUCAUCUUUUUAUCUCCAACUUUCCUGAAAGAAUUUACAUGUGCA
This is an RNA transcript of Otolemur garnettii (small-eared galago), 1694 nucleotides long. It is a transcript of the gene named aspartate aminotransferase, mitochondrial-like, with no coding region annotated. NCBI's taxonomy places the organism in Eukaryota, Metazoa, Chordata, Mammalia, Primates, Galagidae. The transcript has a single exon. The record is from RefSeq and is a predicted model, not a curated record.